RNAcentral lists this ribosomal RNA (420 nucleotides) under bacterium. Its description in RNAcentral is "partial 16S ribosomal RNA". It matches the Rfam family "Bacterial small subunit ribosomal RNA", at positions 355 to 776 of the family's 1533-position model. The record is from RNAcentral.
UGGGGGAUAUUGCACAAUGGGCGAAAGCCUGAUGCAGCGACGCCGCGUGGGGGAUGAAGGCUUUCGGGUUGUAAACCUCUUUCGCUAUCGAACAAGGCCCGCUUAGGGUGGGUUGAGGGUAGGUGGAGAAGAAGCGCCGGCUAACUACGUGCCAGCAGCCGCGGUAAUACGUAGGGCGCGAGCGUUGUCCGGUAUUAUUGGGCGUAAAGGGCUUGUAGGCGGCUUGUUGCGCCUGCUGUGAAAACGCGGGGCUUAACUUCGCGCGUGCAGUGGGUACGGGCAGGCUUGAGUGUGGUAGGGGUGACUGGAAUUCCAGGUGUAGCGGUGGAAUGCGCAGAUAUCUGGAGGGACACCGAUGGCGAAGGCAGGUCACUGGGCCAUUACUGACGCUGAGGAGCGAAAGCAUGGGUAGCGAACAGG